UCAUACAGUUAUAUAUUGUCUACUCUACAUUAACAGGAAGAGGGUGACUAUUUUUAAAAUCAGACAGUUCUUCCUCUCCUCUCCAUGAAAAUCAAAAGCAGGGUAUGUAUUACCAUGAAAGGGUAGAAAUACAAAUCAAUACAAUCUUGAAAAUGGGUGCUGGUUGGAAAAAGAAAAUACUUUAUUAACUGAGUAGGAUUUCACAUAAUGCCAUUUUGACUCAAAUACCCUUUCAUAUCAGUGGGAGAUGGCUUUGAAAGGCCUAACUUGUGAGAAGGGUCAUUCUAAUUGGAUAUCUCAACCUACCACUGCUCC
Molecule: long non-coding RNA, 315 nt
Filed under: Bos taurus (domestic cattle)
Lineage: Eukaryota; Metazoa; Chordata; Mammalia; Artiodactyla; Bovidae
Description: long non-coding RNA NONBTAT019207
Source: RNAcentral